CGGGAGGUGGCGCAGUUUGGCUAGCGCACUUGCAUGGGGUGCAAGGGGUCGCGGGUUCGAAUCCCGCUCUCCCGA
This 75-nucleotide transfer RNA is filed under the name Candidatus Omnitrophota bacterium. RNAcentral's name for it is "tRNA-Pro". It matches the Rfam family "tRNA". Rfam says of the family: Transfer RNA (tRNA) molecules are approximately 80 nucleotides in length. Their secondary structure includes four short double-helical elements and three loops (D, anti-codon, and T loops). The record is from RNAcentral. Lineage: Bacteria; Pseudomonadati; Candidatus Omnitrophota.